UACAGAGGGGGCGAGCGUUAAUCGGAAUUACUGGGCGUAAAGGGCGCGUAGGCGGCCUUCUAAGUCGAACGUGAAAUCCCUGGGCUCAACCCAGGAACUGCGUCCGAUACUGGAAGGCUUGAAUCCGGGAGAGGGAUGCGGAAUUCCAGGUGUAGCGGUGAAAUGCGUAGAUAUCUGGAGGAACACCGGUGGCGAAGGCGGCAUCCUGGACCGGUAUUGACGCUGAGGCGCGAAAGCCAGGGGAGCAAACAGG
RNAcentral lists this ribosomal RNA (253 nucleotides) under uncultured bacterium. Its description in RNAcentral is "partial 16S ribosomal RNA". It matches the Rfam family "Bacterial small subunit ribosomal RNA", at positions 524 to 776 of the family's 1533-position model. The record is from RNAcentral.